Molecule: ribosomal RNA, 221 nt
Filed under: Bacillus subtilis
Lineage: Bacteria; Bacillati; Bacillota; Bacilli; Caryophanales; Bacillaceae
Description: partial 23S ribosomal RNA
Rfam family: Bacterial large subunit ribosomal RNA
Source: RNAcentral
GGAAGAGAAAGCAAAUGCGAUUCCCUGAGUAGCGGCGAGCGAAACGGGAUUAGCCCAAACCAAGAGGCUUGCCUCUUGGGGUUGUAGGACACUCUGUACGGAGUUACAAAGGAACGAGGUAGAUGAAGAGGUCUGGAAAGGCCCGCCAUAGGAGGUAACAGCCCUGUAGUCAAAACUUCGUUCUCUCCUGAGUGGAUCCUGAGUACGGCGGAACACGUGAA